GCGCGGCGGAGCUGGUCGCUGAGCCGCGGGCCGGGGGAGCGGCCGGUCGGGGCGCGGGAAGCCCGGGAAGAUUCCGGUCUGGUCACGUUGGAGACUGGUCAUUUUCUAGAGGGAAAGGAGAAGCCCAUGAAAGGAUGGUGAAUUCUCUUUGAGUUUCAGUUGCCAGAAUAAAAGAAAGUCCAAGCAUCAAACAGAUAAACUUGAAGACACUGAAAGCUAAGAUACCAUGAUUCCGAAGCCAGUCCACCCCGAAGUCAUGGUUUAACUAUUGCAUUAAGGUCCUUGCGCUUGAGCAACAGGCGGUGAAACCACUGAGCUAAAUCCCCGGCCCCACUGCAGGAACUUGCACAAGACACGUAACCUCUCUGUCUGCCAAUCUCCACACCUGGGACAAUGAUAAAGUGUCUGCCGGGAAGAUAUUUACGUUGUGAGGCCCGACAUUACAAAUGCACAUUGGCAAAUGCUAGACUGUGCAAGUGUCGUCAGCAUCGGUGCCCAUAAUAAUAAUGGCGGAGUGCUUUGAAGGUUGCACGGCUGGUGAACUGGGGAAGGCACAGUGGCGAGUGGGGACUUGCGAACAAGAUGGUCCAGGAGUGUCCUGAAGUGGAGACCUUGUCAGUGAGAAAUAGCCUGUGAGGUGGGACAAGAAUAGCAUCCGGAGGAAACACAAGUGCCACCGGCGUGUCUUAAGCAGAAAAGGCACGUGACAAAAUCCAGUACUUCAUCAUGUUAAAAAAAUAUCUGACAGCCUGGGGCUAGAAGGGAACUUCCUCACCCGGAAGGAACAUCUACGAAAAACCCGCUGCUCUAGCACGCUGAAUGGUAGGGCUGAAAGUUUCCCCUAAGUCCAGGAGCAAGGAUGUUCCCUCUUAGCAAUGCUGCUCAGUAUUUGUGAUGGUUAAUAUUAAAUGUCCACUGGACCAGAUUAAAGGACAGCCAGGGAGCAGCUAACGCAUCCUUCCGGGUGGGUGCCAGUGUUUAUGGUGUGGGAGCCGUUGCCCUGAGGGAAAGAUCUCCCCUUUGUGUGGAUGGAGGCCGCCAGCCAGCCUGGGCCUGAGACGGAGCAAAAAGACAGCAGAGAAGCCUGACUUGCUCUUUCUCCUGGAGCGGGGACACAUAUCUUUCUGUUUUCAGACAUUGGAAUCCCAGGUUCUCUGGUCUUGGACUCUAGGACCACAUCCCUGGUCCCCUGGGCCCCCAGACUUUCUCCCUACUUAGACUGAGUUACGCCACCAGCUUCCCUGGCUUUGAGACAUUUGAAUUUGGCCUGAGCUAAGCCACAGGCAUCCCUGGGUCUUCAACUGGCAAAUGCCAUGUUAUAGGGCUUACCCACCACCGUGAGAGCCAGCUCACCUAAGUCGCCUCUCCCAGGUGCCCUCUAGUUAUCUGGUUCUUUCUCUCUAGAAAACUCCAACAGUCUUCCUCACAACUAACGGGAUUAGAAAACUAAUAUGGAAUUGUGCUGGAGGGUCUAGCCAGGGCUGUUAUGCAAGAAAAUGAAGUAAGAGGCUUCGAGACCAGAAAAGACAACACUCUCUAUUUACAGGUAGCACAUUAUUUGUAGGACAUCCUUAGGAAUCUACUAAACUGUUAGAACUAAUAAGCUCAGCAAGGUUGCAGAAUAUAAGAUGUAUUGAUGUACAAACGUCAAUUGUCUUUCUAUAUACUUGCAAUGAGUAAUCUAAAAUGAAACUAAGAAAAUAAUCUGUUUGAUAAUAAAGAAGAGUAAAAUAUUUAGGAAAAAAUUAACAAAGGAAGUAUGAAACAUGUACCCUUAAAAACUGUAAAAUCAUCAUUGAAAUGGAUUAAGGGAAACCCAAUGAAUUGGAAGGCUUAGUAUUGUUAAAAUGGUAAUGCUCACUGAGUUGGUAACAUAGAGUCAAUGCAAUUUUUAUCACAGCUUCAGAUGGAUUCUUUACAGACAUUGACAAACUGACCCUGAAAUUAAUAUGAAAAUUCAAGGCAUCCUGAAUAGGCAUGACAGUCUUGAAAAAGAACAAAAUAGGGGGGUUCACUUCCUGAUUUCACACUUUCCACAGAAUUGCAGUAAUCAAUUCAGCAUGGCACUGGCAUAGGCAUGGAGGCCUAUACACACGGGGUAGAGCUGAGAGUCUGAAAAUAAACUCAUACAUUUUUGGUGGUGAUUUUGGACAUAUGCGCCAACAUAAUUCAGUGGGGAAAGAAUACUCUCUUCAAUGACUGGUGCUUGGACAAAUGAAUAUUCAUGUGCACAGGAAUGAAGUUGGACCCCUACCUCACACUAUACAAAUAUUAACUCGGAAUAUACUGACAAAGGUCUACAACUUUAAAACUCGUAGAAGAAAACAUUGGCAUAAAUUCAAUGACCUUGGAUUGGGUAUAAUUUUUUAGAUAUGUCACCAAAAGCAAACGUGAAAAAAGAAAGAAUAAAAUGAACUUCAUCAAAGUUAAAAACUUUCAGUUAUAAAAGGUCAGUAUCAAGAAAGUACAAAGACAACCCACGAAAGAGUUUAAAGUCAUAUGAGAUAAGACAAUGUAUAUAGAAUAUAUAAAGAACUCUCAUGACUCAGUAAUAAAAAGGCAACCCAAUCUAAAAUGGGCAAAGGAUUUGAAUAGAUAUUUCUCCAAAGAAGAUACACUAUGGCCAGUAAGCACAUGAUUCAGUAAACAUAAAGGAAAUGCAAAUCAUAGCACAACAAGAUAUCACUUUCUACCCUCUGUGAAAGAGGGCAUAACAAAUGUUGGUGAGGCGGUGGAUAAAUGGGAACUCUUACAUACUGCUGAUGGGAAUGCAAAAUGCUUCCAGUGCACUUGCUUUGGAAGACAGCAUGGCAGUUUCUCAAACAGAUAUACUUAGAGUUACUCCUUACAACUCAGUGUGUAAAUCCCCAGGUAUAUAUUCAAGAGAAAUAAAAACAUACACAAGAACACUAAUGUUUAUAGCAGCGCUAUUUAUAAUACCUAAAAAUGGAAAUAGCCCAAAUGUCUGUCAACUGAUGAAUGAAUAAAUAAAAUAUGGUAUAUUCAUAUGGCAAAAUACUAUUUGGCUAUAAAAGGAAAGGAAUACUAAUACAUGGUGUAACGUGGAUUAACCUUGAAAGCAUGUCACCCGAAAGAAGCCAGAUACAAAAGGACAUAGUAGGGUUCCAAUUAUGUGAACUCUCCAGGUGGGUGGCGUAGCUUAGUGGGAAAGUGCUUGCCUAGCAUACGCGAGUCCAUGGCUUCCAUCCCCGAACUAAAAAGGGAAAGAAAAACAAACAGGCACAAAUGUCCAGAACAGACAAAUCUACAGAGACAGAAGGUAGAUUAAUGCUUGACUACAGCUGGGAGUGUCUUAUGGGGAAUCAGGAGUGACUGCUAAUCGGUUUGUGGUUUCUUUGGGGUGUGAUGAAAACGUCUAAAAUUGAUUUGGUAAUGGUCACACAACUCUGUGAAUAUACUAAAACCUAUUGAAUCACACUUGACAUUGGCAGAUGGAAUGCUAUGUGAGUUAUAUUUCAAUAAAGCAGUUGUGUAUAUUUAAAAAGCAUUUCUUAGAACUUUAACGGUCAGAACUUGGCAAUAGAUGAGAUUUAAGGAAUAAGGACUAGGGAAGAAUCAAGAAUGACUCCUUAAUUUUGACCUUGGGUGACUACUGAGAAGGAGAGAAAAGACAGAGAGGAGUGUUUGUCUUGUUUUUCUGUUGUUUUGAUGAGGGCCAGCUUUGAGAAUCAAGAUUCUGUUUAGAAAUAUUAUGUUUAAGGUCCCUGUAAAAGAUUCCAGACAGAUGUUAGGCAGACACUUGGAAGUGAGUCUGAAGCUCCAAGGAGCAAUCCAGACUGGAAAUAUAAUUUGGAUGGUAGGUAGAUGCAUAAGGACAGAUGGAGAGGGCCAGGGAGUGUGUGUGAGAGUGUGUGUGUGUGUGUGUGUGUGUCUCUCAGGGUAAGGGGAAUGAGGGAGGACCACAACCUAGAUAUACCCAGGUGGUAUAACUGUCCAGGGAGGAGGAAAAGGUCGGCAGAGGGGGGCCCUGAACUCAGGUGGCCGACAAGAGGGGGCUUCCAUAGGCAGGCCGUCCAGAGAGCCCCAGGAGGAGGCCGGAGGUGGCCAGGGGUCCUUUGGCCAAGUGGAGGUUGUGCAGUACCUCCUAAGAGUAGUUCGGCUCACCAGAGAGGGCCAGAGAGGGAACAUGGAGUACAGAAUUGGAGAGUUAAGCAGCUGUGUCUAGAAGUUCUGCUGCAGUCACUCUGGAGCAGCUCUGCUCUGAGAUGGAGAUUGUUUUCCAUUCCGGGGAGACACUCCACAGGAGUGCUGUUGGGUUUGGAGGUCGCCCUUUCUUUCUUGGGGCCGGUGGUCCAGAAUGAUCCUGCCCAGGGCAGCUUCUGCAAGCCAUAGUACCAGGGCAGGGCCUAUAGGGGGGCGUUGCCCAGCCGCGUCCUGGGAACAGUGUAUUCUGUGCUUUGUUCUCUGAUGGCUUUGAUUUUGUUUUUGUUUUGUGCUGGGGAUGGACCCAGGCCCUUGCACAUGCUAAGCACAUGCCCUACCAUGGAGCCCCAGCCCAGCCAUGUUGUUAUUUUGAUUUGGAGAAAACUGAAAGUAGGAUUUUACCAAUGUGCUUUUUCACGGUUUAAGUAGGAUUGCCUACAAGUCUUCAUUUGAAAUCAGAAUAAAGGGAAAGCUGGGCCUUGCUCUCAGAUGCAGUGAGGGCCUUUAGCAAGCACACCCGACUGUACAUAACUUGCCGCUCCUGAGAUGUUAGUAGGACCCUGUUUUUGGACCACUGAGACUCCAGCAGGUCCUGAGUGAGGUGGAGGGAACACACACACACACACACACACACACACACACACACACACCCCCGCAGUGGAGGCAUAUGCUUUUAGAAACCUCCAGUGCGCUGACCGUAGUUCUUAGCACUGCCCUCCCUGGGCUGCUUUACUAAUGCAGAUGUGAAGACAGCUUUCCAAGGUCCCUGGUCUUCAAGCAGCACCCAGCCUCCCUCCCAUGAGGACGCACUGGGGAAUGGAGGAGUGCUUGGGUUAGAAAGCCCAUUUUUCUGCUGUUUUCAGCAGACAUUGGGGUUUGAACACGUGACCCAGAUGGCUCAUUUUGGAUGAGUCUAAGUAAUGGUUAUUUUUUAUUUUACAAGAUGCGUGUGUGAGAGUGUUUUGGUGAGUCAGAUCUUUAGUCAUAUCUGAGUGCUGCUUGCUAAAAUUUCUGUUAUAUAGAAUACAGAUGAUUUAUCAUAAAACAAUAUUUUGAAAAUCCACUUUUUUCUGGCUGUUUUGACAUUUUCUUUAUUUCUCUAAACUUGGGUAAAGGCUCCAGGUGUAAGGGUUUUGUGUGUGUGUGUGUGUGUGUGUGUGUGUGUUUAAACAUGUGAUGUCAUUGUUGUUUGGUUACGUUUUAUUGUAUAUGUAGGAGGUAUGUAUUGAGGUUUUUUUACAAAGAAUUUUUCAGUAUUUCUUUAAAAACCUUCUGCAAUAGCAUCUUCAUAUGUUCUACAGCACAGAUCCUGUAGGCUCUUAGGAAUUCUCAUGGAAACAUCCCAUUAGUAGUGUGUGCACAGCUCCAUCACAGGUCAGGCUAAGGCCGAGUCACUGGCUUUAGGGCACUGUCUUGCAGCGGUCCUGCGCCUGCACUAACUUCAAACCACUUCCAAUUGCUGGAAAGUCACAGUGGUUAUCUGGGAGGAUCCAUUUGAACUUCAACCUGUUGUCUUGGCUCCAGGCCCAUGCUAAAGGACACUUUUGAUUUCUUGAUUUUAAAAGAGCAGAAGAAAGUGGUCUCGGAGAGAAAAAGGUUUGAUGACCACUCCAGAGGCUGGCAGCCGGCCCCACCAUGACCAGGGCUGGGCCAUGUCAGUUCCGUCUUCCGAUUGUGUUCAGAGAAUCAGGCGGGAAGGGCAGGUGCUGCAGAUCUGCCUCAAGGAGCUUGCAGUCCACUUCGUCCUGCCUCAGAGGCAUCUGUGUAAGUUGCUCUAUUUCUCAGAAACCUCUUGUUUGUCUCGGGCGGUGGCCAGGCCUCGCAUGCGCUGUGUGUGCUGUGUCGCAGACCACAGGCCUGUGCCUGAGCGUUGUUUUGUCUGUGGGCAGACGCAUAUGUGUGCAGCAUGCAGCAUCUGGCAGCGGGGCUGCUGGGGCCAGGUACACAGCCCUGGGCAGGUGGCUGAGGUGUGGGAACUGCUGACAAGAGAGCAGAACAGGAGAGGCCAGGUAAGGUGCCUGUGGAUUUUCUAAAACAGCUCCGUUGGCUGCUUUUUGAAUACUAGUUAGCAUUUAGUGGGCUGGUGGCUCAUUCUGUUGUCCCCUGUUUUUAUUUCCUGGCAAUGCUUUUUAGGUGUUGCUAAUGAAUUAGCCUAAAGCGGUUUAAUGAACAUGUCGUUAAUUUAGGUUUGUAAAUAAAGAUAUGCAUUUUUUUUAACUGCUGUCUCCUAUGGAAAAAAGCAAGAGUAUCUAACUUUCCAAAGAGGAAAAACAAAGUAACAUAUGGUCACAUGAAGAGUCCCUUUGUGAUCUUUUGUUGAGUGGAGUUUAAUCUGCAGGCUUAAUUUAAAAUAAAAUUUACAGGGCAACAGGAAAGAGAAACCAUGGAAGACUCUAACUACACCUUUGUAUGUCUGUGCUCCUCACCUGUGCCCUUCCUCUUUCUACACGCACACGCACACACACGCAAGCACACACAUGCACACACACGCACAUGCAUGUGCCCCGAGCUGCAUGUGCAUGAAAAAUAGGUAGAAAAAGCUAUGAAGGCCAAACAGAAAGUACAGUUUAGUAGUAAGAGGUUGAAUAUAAGAUGGAACAAGUCCUAAUUUUUUAUUUCACUUUCAUUUGGAUACAUUUACUAAUUCUCUUUGCUGGGCUUAAGACUUCUCAAACAUUCUUUGGCCCUGGGAGGGAGUUGUAUAACCAUAAAACUUGAGAAUCCUGGCCCUGGGAUAAAUGUUCCUUUUAAAACCCCAAGGACAGAAAAUUGAAUACAGCUGUGCAAAAAACCCCAAGGUGGCGUGAUGUUUCGGGGCAGCCGGCACCCUGUGCAGCUUUCCAGCUCAUCCGGGCUGGGUUCGUGGAGACAGACAGGGAGCACUGCCCUUUCCAAAGGCUUCGGGGAAGGGUCGCGCUUCCUUCAGAAGCGUGUGUUUCUGGAUGUGGUUACCAGACCACUCUUUCUGGGGUGCUGUCCAUCAUCUCUGCAUACUAUACAGUUUCUCCUGCAGGGAACCGGCAUUUCUAGGUCGUCCUCUAAGAUGCUGUGGUUCCCCAAACCGCACCUUUCCUACUGAGGGGUCUUGGAGCUUAAGCCUUUGUACCAGAGUCAGAACAGAGACGCGAAUCCCCUCCUCUGCCUCCCCCAGCGAUGUCGUUUUCUCCUGAGAACAUGGCUUUGCUCCUUGCCCCUCCCCUGGAAUGGAAACCAGGAUGUUGCUUCUCUGACGUUGCCUGGUGGGUUGCACUGCUUGGUCUGCAGCCCAGGGGAGCCAUCACUGGGAACUAACCCCUGUCCAGCCUGGCAUUAAUUACUGUAAUCUCUGUCAGAUGUGUAAUGAUGAUUCAUACUUCUUCCUCUACAAGAUUAGAUUACUGUAGUUUUCAUAUCCUGGACUUCCCACUAGGGAUUUAGAUUAAUACUUGUUGGUACAGAAAACAGUCUUGUGUUUCUAAGGAGAAAGGGCUGCACUUGCCCCCUUGGUCAUCAUCAGAGAACAUGAGGGAGGCCCUGCCUCAAGGCAGUCCUGCCUCUGGGCUCACCUUGUCAGUCAGCUUUCCCUAAAGGCCAGGGAGCGGUGUCUCUCUGUGUGUAAGGUCCGGGGCAGUGGAUUUGCUUAUGUGAUGCCAAGCCUACAGGUCAGAAUGCACGGAGGAUUUUGAACUCAGUAUUGAACUCAGUAUUGGUAUUGGUAUUGAACUCAGACCCUGAUUAGUGAGGGAAGUCUUUCCCAUAUAAGUGUUUUGGAUGGAGACAAACUAAUUCAUGCAUGUGGAACUAUCUACCCAAAGCCAUCAGGGACUAUGACCACAGUGUAGGGAGUUGAGGGGAGCCUAGGAGAUGGAAAGCCGCCUCUUAAGAACUCUUAAGUUUCUGUAGUUUCUCUGUAGAACAUAUAUUUUUCAAUUUGUACAACAGGCAUUUAUUGAGCACUUGCUCUAUCCUAGGCACUAGGGACGAGCAACCACCUGUAAGACCAACAGAAAUCUUGGUCCUCACAUAAGUCACAUUCUAGGGGCCCUUGUUACUGGGGGUAGGUGUGCAGGUGAAAAAAGAGUGACAGCAAGAAAUUUUCAUACCAAGAACUUCAAAAUGACUGUAAUCACUUGUAAAUAUACCUGCUUAUUUAUUUCCUGCCCUCUCUCUGACACAAUGCACACCCCACUGAGAAGACAUUGAGAAGACAUUUUCCAGCAGAUCCUCUCAUACUCAGACACGCUCACGAAUCACCCAGUUGGUGUCAGGACCCCAUCAAGUAACUUUAGGGUCUUCCAGGGAAGUGCAGACUGGAGCCCUGGUAGAGAAGCUUGAACUGUGACCAAGGGUUUUCACUUUAUUAUCCUGUCUCAAUUCUCCUUCGCAGUGCCUCGCAUCAACAGAGUUCCUCUCCCUUGGGUCCCCUUCUUUCCUCUAAAUUCUUCUUUACUCUAAGUGGUUGUGGGUUUUCUUGGGGGAAGAUGAGACCGUGCCUUGGAAUGAUGAGUCUCAGUCCUUUGCAGCAGGACACAGCCGCAGGAGUGUGAAUCCAGGCCAGUGAUUUCAGUGGUGGAUUCAAACCAAGUCUUCACCUGAAGGCGGUGAACUGAAAACAGUGCAGAAAUGCUUAAUUGAUUUCUGUAUCUUCCUUUGAACUCAAGCAGAUGUGUCAGGCAGAUGUGUUCCCAGCUGGAGCCACAGAUACACGUUAAGACACCACACUAGCAGUUUGCUAUUGUAGAAUUAUCCACAUUGUAGUUCCAGUCAUAACAGGCUUAUCAGGCUUUUUGUGACCACUGCUAACUCUGUUUCUGGAGGAGGGGGAGAGGGAGCCCUCACCUGUCCUGCACCACCAACAAUGCGUGGGGCUCUUGGUCAGUGGGAGAAGGGAGCGAGUCGAGAGAGCCACCUGGCAGCCUCCAUUGUGGAUGACGCUUCUCGGUCUCCUUGGUAACACGGCACAGGUGUGUGCCUUUUAAGCACCCUCCUUGAGAAGAUCCAGAGCUGCUUCAUGUUUUCCCCUCAGGGAUAAGCAUGGUCAUUUCCUCUCUGUGUUUGGGACCAGCACAGGAAGUCCCCGGUGGCACUAAGCAUGGUGAUGUUGGCAGCGGCAUGCACGGGAGAGGACCUUUCUGGGUCUGCUCUGGAGUAGGAGGUCCUCAGUCCUUCAGACUCUGCUUCAGCUCAUCCCCGCCUGAGAAGCACUCCCGUGGCUCUGCCUGCCGUGUGACGGCUUGCCAUCUGAGAGCCAGCAGAAACCCUGCAGUUUUAGUUGUAUGACAGCCCAACCGGGGCAUGGCACACUUUGUACAUCUCCAAUUACUUGCAAGACUCUGAGCAUGGUGUCCAGGAAUGUGAUGUUGGGCCAGCCAUACAGGAGGCUGCGUCCCUGGAAUCGGGACCAGCCUCACCCCUGGCACACUCACGUUUCUUUCGGGCAGCGAGGCCAGCAGUCCGUCCAUGCUUAGCUCUGCCGCACACCCAUUGCGUGGAGCUGCUGCCCGGGAGAGAGGCUUGGCUUGCAAAUGGCUUGUUCAAGUCAGUGACUCACAGAUGACAUUGGAGCACAAAAAGAUCUUCAUCUAAAGCCAGUGAAGUUUUCCAUAAGCUUUCAGGGAAAAAAAGAUCAGACUGGCAGCCUCCAUUUAUUGAUUUAUUGAUUGAGAUUAUCUGGGAGAGGGGAAUUUGUUGAUUGAAAACCAUUACUAACUGAAAACAAUAUCCCCCCUUUUCACCUUUUUAAAAAAUCUACAGUCAAAAAUUAUCUGACUAUGGUGCAGACGGCCACAAUCUUAGACCCACUGGAAUAGCAGUGUAGAUAUUAGGAGAUGUCCCUGUAUUCUCUCAUAGAUGUCCAACCCUAAGCUUAUUGAGACAAUGGAAUGAGUCUGUCUGGUCCUGUUAGAGCAGGAAUUAGGACAGAAUUUAGGCCCUGAUUGCCUGACUUUUUCAUUCCCUGGAAAUGAGCAGCUUAAAGAAAGACCUCCAAAGGUUGCUCAAGUUCAGUUAGAAUGCUGUGCUCUUCAGAAGGCUAAGGCAAUCAGAGCUUUGUGUCUCACUUUCCCUGUUCUGACAGCUCCGGCUGGGUCUCUGAUGCCACUUUCACUUCAGAAUCAGAGGGAGAGUGGAGAGGAAUGUGAUGCUGUUGCCCACACACACUCGUGCCAGCGAUACUCGUUUGAUUUCCUGCUUAUAGAUGCAGGAGCCAACCCAUGACUGCAUCUUCAGAGGGAGAUUAAACAUUGAUUAAUCAACCCUGAAAAAAACCCAAAAAACAAAAGGAGAACAUUGUAGCUGCAUUAAAAUGGGAAAAGGAGCUGACUGCAAGCUCUUUUGAUCCUAGUUCUCAGUCUUCAUAUCAUAAACAUUUAGUAUACUCAUGCAGUGGCAGACGUUGCUAGGUUCUCAGGAUAAAAAAAGAGAGACACUGAAGUCCCCGCCCUUUCCAGGUCAGGGCAGGGCUUGCGGAGAGACAGAGUCAGCUUCGGCUUGAAGGGUGAUUGGGCUUUUCGAAGUGAGGAGGGAGGAAGGCAUCCUCAGCAGACAGCCGCCCAGACAGAGCAAAGUGGUCUCUGAGGCUUCUGAAGGUUGAGGGCAGAUCCGCUGCUGAAUUGUUGGGAAGGGCCAGGCCAGAGAGGCUGGGGACUUCGGAAUUUACCAGCCAUUCACGUCUGUUUGGGUUUUCUUUUGUUUGUUUUCUCCCAGUACGUAUAUGCUGGUGUCACAUACCUCUGAGAUUUGUCUAAAUAUGAUGUUGGUGAUAAAGGCAGGCAUUACUACUCUGUGUGAUGUUCAUAACCGUGAGGAAUACACUCAUCAGAGUAAGUCACUUCCCAUCUUGGGCUCUGUGAGAUGAUCUUUGGGUUGGGUGUGAUAUCCAUAGUAUUUAUUUGUAACCAGGUACCUUUUUCUCCUACUGAUGACUAUCUAAAUCCAAGAAGGUGAUUUUUUUGUGUCGACAUUCUUGUGAUUGCUCUUCUGCAAGUCUAGUUACAGAAAGUUUCUCGGUUACAAAACCAUGGCAAGCAGAGUAUUAUGGACAUAGUAGUAUUCUCUGUAAUUAUUUAAGAAAGUUAACUUAAACUAUCCCAUGAUUCAUCCAAAUUGAACAUGUUUUUCGAGACUCUAACAAGUCAAACAGGAUACCAUCUCCAGAGACAGGACAAAGGAUCACGUGAUUAAAACAGCAAGAUGGAAGGUUGUUUGGUGAGCCACGGGAGCACAUCUAAGCAAAAUUAACCCCAGGGAUCUUAUAGGCAGAAUUGGAGCUAUGCCAGUGAUGGAAAUGAGGCUCCGCCUUGUAUCAUGCUGUGAUGAAUGCUGAUUUCCCAGAGUGCAGGAAAAAACCCACCAUCUAAUUCGGCCCUGUGUAACUAGGAACUUUCAUCUGUAAAGAAACUUUCAUUUUCCUUCUUAGGCUAUAAACUUUUCAUAGGUAGGAACUCUGCAGAGUACCUAACUUGUUCAUUUUCUUUUUUCUUUUCCCAUUAAGUUUAUUGGCACAUUUUCGGUAUAAAAUACUGUUACAUUCAUCAUUGAGAUCUUGUACCUUUACUUGAGUAUCUUGAUUCUUAUUUUUUCCCCUUCUCUUGCCCACCCUUCCCUAUUUGCAAAGACCUUGUUUCCAUUUUUUUCUCUUUUCUCAUAUUUUUACUUUUCCCUUUUUUCCCUUCCCCUACCCCUCCUACUUCCCCUGCACCUUUGGACCUUUUCUUCCUUUUACACAAUAUCAAUUAUACAUUUGUUAAAUUACAAUAUCAAGAUCUAGGAGACAUUACCACAGAUUUUACAGAAUUUAAAAGGAUAUAGAAAGCAUAUUUCAAAAAUCUUUUUUGAAAUAAAUUUGACAACUUUUAAGAAGUACCUUGGAAGACAAAUUAAUGAAACUAACUCUGGAGGAAAUAUAAAAUUUGAAUAGCACCUAUUAAAGAAAGUAUAUUCCUGGCUUGAAAACCUACCUAUAUGACAACAGCAGGCUCAUAUACAUUUUAACUGAUAAAUUAUAUCAAACAAUUAAAGCAGAAAAAGGAAGGAACACUUCUCUCCUCAUUUUAGGAACUCAACAUUGUGUUAAUCCUAAAACUGGAUAAAGAUAAUAGAAGAAAAAGUAUGAACAUAGAUAGAAAUUUGUUUAACAAAACAAACUAUUGGAAGUCAGAUCUGGCAGGAUAUAGAAAGUGGUUUUGUUAUAGGGAUGGCAGUGUUGGUUCAGCAUUGGAAGAUCCACCCCUAAAAGUCAUCAUUUUAACAGAGGAAAGGAAAAAGCCAUAUGAUCCUGUCACUAGUUGGAGAAAAAGUAUUGGACUAAAUUCUACAGCUGUUCAUGGUAAAAGCUAUCAGGAGACUAGAGGUAGAACAGAACCUUCUCAACAGAUUAAAGACCUGUACUCCAUACUUCCAGUGAGAAUGCCUUAUAUGAAUGGAGAAGAUACAAUGCUUUCUCCUUAAGGUGGGGAACAAAGGCAGAUAUGCUUACUCUUUAUCUGUCCAUUAAACUUUGAAACCUAGGCCCCACCAAAAUAGUCUGGCAAUAAAAUGAUACAAUUAGGAUAGGAUUGGCAAGGUAGAAGCAAAAUCUUUAUAUGUAGAUGAAAUGAUCAUCUACAGAGAAAAUACUAAUAAAUCUCUGGGAGCCCCUAGAACUUGUACUUGAAUUUAGCAGGAUUAGAAAACACAAGGUAUAUAUAAAAAUUCAGGUCUGUGUAUACUUGCUAUAAAUGAAGAAUUGGAUAUUGAAAUUUAAAAGUUAUGUAGGAGUACAAAGGACCUAGAACAGUUUAAAAAAAACACAAAAAAACAAAAACAGUGUUGGAAGACGUUUAGUACCUAAUUUUAAGACUUCUUCUAAAGCUACAGUAAUCAAGGCAGUGUUGGUGUAAGGAAAGACAUAUAGAUCAUUGGAAUAAAACAGAGAAUCUAGAAAUAGAACCACACAUAUAUGGUCCACUGAGUUUUGAAAGAUUAUUCAACAUUAGCAUUUUAUAGAAUAUAAACUCAAUUCAAGAGCCGAGGAAGAGAUAGUGUUUUCAGCAAACGGCACUAGAACACCUGGUAUCCGUAUAUAAAAAAUUAACCUCAACCCUUUAUUUCCAUACAUGAAAAUAACUUGAAGGGAUCUAUGAACCGAAAUAUGAAAGCCUAAAAGUAUAAAACUUUAAGAAGAAAUUAUAAGGGAAAAUGUUUAUGAAUUCAGGGUAGGCAAGAACUACCUAGGAUACAAAAGACAUGAUGUAUAAAAGAAAAAAAUUGAUCAAUGAGAUUCCAUCAAAAUUUAGAACUUUAAAUGACAUCAUUAAAAUGAAAAGUAGUCCUUAAACAGACCAUAUUUACAAUGCAUAUAACCUAGGACCAGAAUAUAUAAAGAAUUCUUAGAGCUCAUUAAUAGACAACCCAAUGAAAAAGUAGACAUAAGAAGAUGAUAAAUAGCCAGUACAGCACAAGGAAAGGUGUGCAACUCUAGAAUCAGAAAAAUACUAAUCAGUACAAUAACAAGAUUGAAUUAUACACUCAUUAGAGAGAUGAAGUUAAAAGUUUUAAAAGUCUUGUCAUGACUUUUUCUUUUUGCUGGAUUCUCCCCCUUUGAGUUUAAUUUGUCACACCCAAUGGAUUCAUUCCACUGGGCUUCCUGGGGUUGUGAUCCUCAUUGUCUUUUCCUAGGGUGUUGUCUAAAAUUGUUUGGAGUGCCGGGUUGAUAUUUAUGAAGUUCCUGAGGUGCUCUUUAUCACGAAAGUAUCUUAUUUCUCCAUCGAUUUUGAAAGAUAGUUUUGCAGGGUACAUCAAUCUGGGUUGGAGGCUGUUUUCCUUUAGGGCUUGAAAUACAUCACUCCAAGCUCUUCUUUGAGGGUUUGCGUUGAGAAGUCUGCUGUGAUUCUGAUGGGCUUUCCUUUUUAUGUGAUUUGUUUCUUUUCUCUCACUGCUUAUAGAAUUUUGUUCUUCUGUUGGAUUUCUGGAAUCCUAACUAUUAUAUGCCUAUGUGUAGAUUUUUUUUGAUGAAGGCUAGCUGGAGUCCUAUAUGCCUCACUUAUCUGUAUGUCAAGUUCUUUUCCCCUCCUUGGGAAGUUUUCUGCCAUCACUUCUGUGAAGAGUUUUUUUUUAUGUCAUCUGCACUCUUUCCUCUUUCUUCAUUGACUCCAAUCAGUCUUAUGUUAUUCUUCUUUGCAUUGCCUAGCAGCUACUGGAUUGAUUUCUUGUGUUCCUUUACAAUUUUAAAGCAAUUUUUCUUUUCCUGGUCACUAAUUGCAAUCUUUUCUACUAUAUCUGAAAUUCUAACCUCAUAUUGGUUCAUUCUGCUGCACAGACUUUCGAUGGAGUUUUUAAUCACCUGGAAAUCUGUUUGUAUCUAUCUGUUUUAUGGAUUCCAUUUGUUUCCUAUGUUGGGAUUCCAUCAUGUUCCUCAGAUCCUCUAUUUUUUUAUCUGUGUCCUCUCUAGAUUUAUUAAUCAUGUCUUGCACCAUGAGCAAAAUCUUUGCUGUUAUCUGAGUAAUUAUUUCUGAUUUCAUUUUUCCCAGAUCCUCUUUUGUUGCCAGUUCGGAGAAUCCAGGUGGUUGAGUAUCAGAUUGUUCCAUCUCGUUUCCCUUUGGGAUUGCUGUAGGUGAUCCAGAAGUCUGUUUUUGAAGCUUGUUUAUGUGUCUUCUCAUUUCCACGGUGCGGGGGGAGGUGCUUUUGGUGCCUGUGCAGCUCACCUUCUCUGUCCUAGGAGCUUGGGAUGGUGGCAGGGGAGCUUCCUUCGGGGUGCUGGGACUGGCUCAGCUUCUCUCUCAUUUUCUUUUUAAUAUUGAAGAUUUUAAUAAAAACAUUGGCUGUCCAGGGCUGAAUGAAAAAAAAAAGAAAGAAAGAAAGUUUGUCAAGUGAGCCUCCAUCAGUGGGGAGCAGGUGCUGCCUGCCUGAGUUGUAGCUCCUGCCAGGACCACACUGAGAACCUCUGUAGAUGGAUGAGGCCCAGGCUGGGCUGUGAAAAGCCAGUCUAGAAGCAGUAGGGAGGAUGGCCUGGGGAGGUGGCAGUAGGGAAGGGAAGCAGUUCUGGGAGCUCCUGUGGUAAUACUGACUCAAGGCCCAAGGGUAUGGACAGGGAGUGGAAGCCUAGAGGAAGGCUGGCACUCAGGCUGUGAGGCCCAUCACAGCUUCAACCCAAGGCACAAGCUCCAGUGAGGAGGGUCCCUGGCUCUGGUCGGGCAUCCAAGUUGCUUGGGUGAAGUUGUGGCCAGUCAGGAAAACAGGAUCCAUUUCCACAGUCAGAGCUCAUGAGAGUCAUCAUUUGUCCUGAGCUUCACAUUCCUGUGAGGUUUCCUGGUAUCUUGAACUCCAGGGAAUCACCAAUAACAUGAACUCUGCUUUGGGUGUGGUACAAUUUGAUCCAGGAGAAAUAGACAAGAAGAUUCCCAAGGUCAGAGUCCUGCAGACAUUUGAGAGAGGGAGGAGAUAGAAGGGGUGGCAAGACAGCUGAAGUUGUGGUCAGCAAGACCUGGAGAGGCCUGAAGAGAGUAGUGUCAAAGAAAUGUUUGCCAAGAGGAUGUUCCUGGAAGUAGGCUGAGUGUCGAGUCCUGUGUGAGGAGAGUGGUUCCUUGGAGAAGCAAACAAGGACUUAGGGGAAGGUGACAGGGCUUGUGAGCCAUUGGUGGUGAUGAAAACAAGAGAGAUAAGGCAGACUGAGCUUGGAUGUAGAGAUGGGGCUGCAGGAAUUGGGGGUAUAGGAGAUGGGAGAAUCUGAGCACAUCCCUGAGCUUGUGCUGCCCUCUGCAAAGCCUGGCAGAGUCCUAGUCUCCCUGUGAGUUGCCUGGCAUUGCCAUGCUCAUCUGUCCUAGCAUGAAAGGCUCACGAAAGUGAGUGUGGUUCUGUGUUUGCAUCUUGGUUUUAUGCUAGGAAAUCUGAGAGAAUAAAAGGUACCGAGAUAUUCUCAACCUGCCCAUCCUGCAACAAGGAAGGCUGGACUUACGUUGUCUUUUUUUAAGAGAAAGACCUCUAAGACUAUAGAAUUCUACAGUUCAAACACUUGUUUUCUUUUAUAUUUAUAGUAGUGUUAAAAUUUAACAUACCCAGUCUUCUUCCUUGUCGAGGAGUUUUUGGCUAUUUCUGAAAUAUAAAUCAUAUUUGGAAAGUUAAUCAUCUUGGGCAUGGACUGAACUUCUGGAAAGUGUGGGGCACCCUCUUCUGUUAUUGGAUAGGCUGUCAGUAUUACAGGUGCCCUUUGGAAGAUCUAUAUAACUUAUAUUUGUCACCUUCCCAUUUCUAUAAUGAAAUAUUUGAAGCAGUUGACUCAUAAAGAGAAAAGACUCAUGGUUCUGGAAGGUCCAGUCCAAGUUCAAGUGGCCCCAUCCUUUGUCACAAGGAUGACACAUCAUAGCAGGAGUGUGUGGAGAGAAAUCCACUCAUAUCAUGACAAGAGAGCAAAAAAAAAGAAGGAGAAAUAAACAGGCCAACGUUCCACAAUCUCCUUCAAGGACAUGCCCCCAGUGAUCUAAAGACCUCCCUUAAGGUCCCACCUCCUAAUGGUUAGGAGACUUCAAAUAGAGCUGCCAUGGGGACCAGACCUUUAACACAAAGACUGCUGUAGGACAUUAGGCAUUCUAAUUUCAGCACCUGCUAUGAAAACAAAUUUAACUGGAAAUCUAUACUUGUCAUGUCUUACCCUGUAUCAAAUAUUGUACUUUGGAUCGAUGACUUUCAUUCAGGUAGGGUAAAGCAAAUAUUUCCAAUUUGAAAUACUUAAGAUGACACUGAUAAUAGAUAAAGCAUAGUUAUAGUUAAGUAGCCUAUUUUCCAAUGGAUAAUUAUCCAGGUCAUUACAUAUAUCAGUAGUUUGCUGUUUUAUAGUGCUGAGUAUUAUUCGAGUCAUGUUUCAUGGUAUGGGUGUGGACGUACCACACGGAAGACUAGAUUGAGGAUUUUUUGCAUUGGCCUGUAAAUGUCCAAUUGCUCUACCAAUAUUGAUUGAAAGGUACAAAAAUCAGUGGAGCAUGUUUGUGAGGGGCCUAGCUCUGGUUUUUUAAUUCUACACCAUUGCUCUAUGUUAUGUGUUCAGCCCUUCAUCAACACUAACUAUUACUCUAGCUAUAGAAUAGGCCUUAACAUGGGAUGGAUUGAUUCCUCUCUAUUCUUUCUCAAGGUUGUUUUAGCUAUUCUAGGGUCUAUGUCUUUACAUAUUAAUUUUAUCAUAAGCUUGUCUUUAUCUGCCAAAAAUCCUUACAAAGUUUUGGUAGGAUUUACAUUAAACAUUAAUCAAUUUGGGGAGAAUUGAUAUCUUUACUAUGUUGGCUCUUCUAAUUCAUGAACAUAGUAUGUGUGAAUGUUUAUUUAUUGGAACCAUUUUAGAGUUUUUAAGUCAGCAUUUUGUAAUAUCAGCAUAUAGAUCCUGCAUGUGGUUAGCUGAAUUUAUAUCCCCAUAUUUUCUUCAGAAUGAUUCUAAAUUGUAUUGCUUUUAAAUUUUGAUUUCAUUAAUAGUAUACAAUAGGUGACAGAAAAAUGAAUGCAAUCUCUCCUAGAAAACAUAUAAUAAACAGUUCCUAAAUUAGUGCAUGCAGAUUAGAAUGCAUAAUAAAGUUGUGUAAUGAACAGUUACUAAAAAGAAUAGUACAAUAUGCUGUAAUACUAGUAUUAAAUGCUAGUAGUAUUAAAUGAUAGCAAAUGUGAAAUAGUUACUUAUCAACUAUCUUGGAAAUGUCUAAGUCUAGUACAAGUCUAGUUCUGAUUUCUAAUUUUAGUUCACGAUGUAUGGUUUUUAUAUCAUGUCAUUUUGUGAGUAUGGCCGAAGUUAUUUGAGUUGGGUGGGUAGCAAAAAAAUGUCGCUAGGUGUUUCAGUGUUUUGCACAGGUGGAAUUAAAUGGGAUUCAGAAAUUCAAAGCCCAAAAGGUAAGCAAAAGAAGGGACUAAGAAGAGUGAUCCUGUUCAUCUCCAGUCCACGUCAGCCUGGGAAACUUGGGUUGUCACAGGGGAGCAGCACAUGAUAGUCUAAGAGGCACACAAAAGUCAUCAGAUGUGUUUAUUUUGUGGCAGUGAAUCUUUUUUUUUUUUUUUAGAAAAACUGCAUUAUCGUGGUAACCGUGAUUCAUUUUCUUCCUCCUGCCUUUUCCCAGAUAGUCAACAGUUUGACAUUCAUUUUUAUUUACUUUUACCCUGCUUUACUGGAGAAAGAGUUUUAAAAAACUCACAUAAAAACAUUCAUGAGAGAGAAAUUUUAAUGAGGGAAAGCCAAGUUGAGAAACGGGAAAAUAGGAUGAGGACCAGGGCUGAGAUUUGGGGGUAGCUGUCAGGCUGAGGAGUUUUGUUUGUUUGUCCUGUUGAACUGGGUAAAAAAUUUGACUUGGAUGAAUUGUUUUUGACCCUUGCACAAAAUAGACAUAAAGCCAGUGUCUAAUUAUCAUGCCCGCUCAGUAUCUGUCAUCUUUUCAUUAUACCAUGAUAAUGGCACAUAUUUAUGGGGGCGGUGUGAUGUUUCCAUCCAUGUAUAUAUUGUAGAGCAAGCAAAUCAGGAUACUCCUGCUCCAUCAUCUCAAACACCUAUCCUUUCUUUGUGGUCAGAACAUUCAGAAUCCUCUCUCCCAAGCUACUUGGAAAUACACAACUCAGUAUUGCCACUCUUGCACCCGGCCCCAGGGUGCUGGCUUAGGGGCAGGUUUGUCCUGGAGAGGUAGUCAGUGACGGGAAUCUGAGCCUGCUUUAGGAGGCCUCCCCUGCUGCCUGCUGCAGCUGGUGGUCCAGGAGCAGCAACACGUGGAGGCCCAGCACCCAGAGGCCCACAGCACAGCAGUGUGUGCUCCAGCACAGGCCUUAGUGAGCUUGAAGUUCAGGCUCAGGGUCAUUCUUGAUAACAACAGGGCCACCUACCAUUGUAAGUACUUUUGUAAAUGGAAUGUUUUUGUAAUAUUUAGUUUUAAUGUUUAAAAAAUGUAAAGGGCCUUUUAAGAAAUACAACUUAGUUAGGGCUCGUUUGGUUUUGAAGUGAAAUGAAUGACCUGAAAGCCAUAGGAAGAUAGACCUUCCCUGUCUUGAUUUAUCCUUGCCCGUUGAGAGAUCUUCAGUUCAGUUUGGUUUUGAGAUAAGAUACUUGUGCUGUUUCAGAGCACUUCCAGCACAAUUGUUUCUUCUGAUGAUUAAUUGUCCUAUAGUUAUUGGAAGUAGUUAAGAAAUCCAUAGGCAUCUACACAUUUGUAAACCUGUAAAGAGAGAUGUGCCAUUACAGCACGCUGCUUCAUAUAUGUGCUGUAUACAUACAGCUGAUGUUUCCCUGGGGUGUUCAGAACCUCAGCUUUAUCAGUGAUAGUGGGUUCUGUCUUUUAAUCUACGCAGUAGAGUUAGAGAUCCAUUUGCCUGUCCACUUCUGUGUUGCUGUAGCCUGCUCAGGAGUCUGCUGUUGUAUGUUUAAUUCCUAUAAAGCCAACUGAAAGACAAUGUGCACAAUUGACUGCAUUCAAAGUGGCUGCAGGCCAGACCUAUUGCAACAGCUGACGGGCUCCCGUGAGCUCCAGGAGCUAUUUCUGGUAGAUUAGCUGGUAUCACAGCUCUGGAGUUCAGGCCAUAAAAGGCUGGUCAUAUCUGGAGUUGCCACAUUUGCCUCUGACCCGGCCUGGGCUGAAGCUCCUCAGGUUUCAGUGGAUUUACCCAGGAAUGGACGGCCCUCCCAGCCCCAGACUGAGGAACCCCAGCCUCGAGGACUCCGGAGGACUCACGGCUUCAACGAGAAGACUCUUUUUAUUAUUCUCUUGGCAUUCUUUAUUCAGAGGAACUUUUGGGAUGUAGCCUUUACCUGUUUCCCAAAUCUGGCCUCUUGGAAAGCACCAUUCUAUAUUUAUCCAAUUCUGAAUCAUCCCUUUCAGUAGAUGCAGUUGCUCCUGCUUGCAUUGUGAUGUUGGAUUUUGUGCAGCAUUACUUGGGCUAACUUUGGAUAUUUUACUUUUUGUUUAAAAUUUGAAAGUAGUAUUCAUUGAGAAGAGACUCUACUAAAAUACUCAAGGACUUCCAAAGCUGGAUUAGAGGAUAUAGUCUGUUUUAUUUUUUAAUUAGAAAAAUAAGGAAUUGUCGUGUGGUUUCCCUUCCCCCUUUCACUUAGAGGAACAAGGAUUAUACAGAAAUUUGAAGUAAGUGAAAACUAUUCCUAUAAAUCUAAAUGCAAUUUUUUUAAGUGCCACCUGCCUGAGCAUGCUUCCUAGGAAUCUGUUUACUUCAAGCACUGGAAUGUUCCUGCCGGUACUGUAUUUGCUAGUCACUGCCAUUACUUCUAGAGACACCCUUGGGCAUAUUUUGGAGGUAAAGAAAGAUUGGAUUUUUUUUUUCCUUAAAAACAAAAGGACUUACUUUACCAUACACAGAGGUCUGUUGCUAACAGUUUGAUUAGAAUAACUUAGUAAGUACAUUCUAAAUUUUAUCACUUGAAUUCUUGGGAUUGAAGUAUAUUCACAAUACAAUGCAUUUUAAUCAUUUCACAAGUAUGGGGGUGGAGUCCAAAGGGUAAGCUUAGGUAAUUCCUUUCAUUAUUUAUUACCAAUUAUUGAUUGCUUGUUUGUUUGUGGUGCUGGGUAUGGACCAGAGCUGGAGGUGUGUUAGGCAUGUCCUCUACUGCUGAGCUCCACCCCGCCCUCCUUCCUUUAUGUGGAAAUGAAAAUCACUCGUGAUCUUUUUUGUGUACCUGUAUUUUGAUGAUUCUUUGCCUUGCUGCUCUGAUUCCUUAGGCUUGAUUUAUAGAACUUCUUUGUUCUUGAAUUUUAAAGAAAAAUCUAGGUUCUAGGUUUUGAAUUGUAAUUUGUCUUAAAAUUCUCCAAGAAAAAAGUUCAGUGUCAGCCUUCUUAAUCCCUAGGGAUAGCUGUGAUCUCUUCGUAAUUUAGCUUGGCAAUUUGGUGUUGAAAAAUAGCAUUGAGCUCUAGGACAUUUAAGGUUUAUUUGACAUAAUUCUUUUUGUUCAUACCAUAUCAGAUGAACAAGUAUGGGUAGUAAUUAUUUUUAUCACACAGAAAAACAGCAUAUUUAUAGAGAAGGACAUCAUCGGUGAAUACUGCAGCUCUGCAGUGGAAGUUGUACUGAAACCCUAGGGGGCAUGAGGAAAUGCUAGGGGUGGGGUGUAGAUUCCCCAGUAUCUGCUGCUGGACUUUGGAAGGAUGCAAUUUGCAUGCUAUAUGUAAAUAUGUACAGGAUUACUCUGGCCAAAAUGCUGACGUUACCCACACUGAAGAAAAUUGAAGGGUAUACAUUAUACUCUUGACCUCCAUAGAGAAGGGAAUGCUAGGCACACUGGGGCUGCUCAUCCCUGAGCCAGGUGGGCUCUGGAGGAGCCAUGAGGUUGAAUGUCCUGCAGGGAAUUAAUCCUCCUUGUCACUGCUGAAGAUGCAUGGAGGAGAUGCAGGUGAGCGGAGAGCAAGACAGUGCUGGUUAGCCAACCCUCAGGGAAAACUUUUUUGAGAUUAUUAAGCUGUUACUGAGAGCAUUAUCUUCAAAGUAAAUUUUAGUUAAAGUACCCAACUCACGGGGGACAUCCUUCUUUCAUCCAACACUUCCUUAUCUUUGCUUGUACUUUUUGAGACUGUUUCUUGCUAGCCAGACGUCUGGAAGACUUUGAAUCUCAGUCCAAAAUGAACAUCUUUAGCCACUUCUGGGGACUUUAAUAGUCUGCAAUGAGAACUUGUUUGCAAGGGGCAAGGCCUUUGGAAAAUUUCACCAGGAUGCCCAGUGAGCUACAGCCUGCAAGGGCUGUGGGUCACAUGCAGGCUUGGGGGAGGUGUUGAUAAGAAGUCAUCUCGCCUCCCAGAACCCUUAGGACAUUCAUUGCAGCUUUAUAUUUUCUAUGUUAUAUCAUGAUCUCUUGAGUGUCUCUCUGUGACCAGGAGUAUCCUGCGCUCUGGAGCUUUCUGGCAGUUCCAGCUUGCUUGUUUGCAAUUGAAUCAAGAGCCUUGACACCCUUGACUCCUCUCUGCAGGUCUCCAGGCCGCUGUGUCUGUCUCUGACACGAUGCCCCAGCCGCACCACCUCUUGCCAAGCUUUGGCAUCUCUCACUUGAGUUAUUGCUUUGCCCUUAAUGUUGUGCCCAGAUUCUCCUGUGUGCAGUCUGUCUUUAGAACGGUCUUCCUAAACAAAGAUGUGGUCAUGUCGCUCCUCAAAUACUUGUCUCCUAAGUCCCCACUGCUUCCAUGCCAAAACCCCAACUGCUUAGCUUCAUCUGCAGGGUCUGUCACGACACUGUGCUUUGCUGGCAGCCCUCCCUGAAGUCCUCUGCCCUCCCUUCCCUGCCAGGGAAGUGCUAGCUCUUGAGGUUCUCCCGGAAGUUUCAUCUGCCUCUGGCCCCUGGGCCUUGACCCCAGCCUGAACUGGGGACCCUUGGCAUAGCAUGUGGAUUGUCCCUUGCUUUGUAGGGUGUGCCCAGUGAGGCAUCUGGAUCUCAGCCCUCUUGCCAUCCUACCCAAUGGGAACUCCACAAAUCUGAGUUAAUUGAACUGAAUCAGAUUGUAAUAUAAUGAUGUCUGGGUUCUUUAGACCGAACUUUGGCUGUUUUCCCUCACAUACUUUCCCAUAUUGUGCAGGGUUCACUGGAGAGGCAAGUGGCUGUAUUCUGUGCUCUAUGUUCUUUUUCUCAUACCUAAUAACACAAGCAGAAAGACUUGGCAUACUGAAACAAGUCUGUCGGGCUUUCUGCACGCAGGUUUUUGCCAGCACAGGAAAUUGAGGUGUGUUCGGUGAAGUCAGCCCCUUCAUCACUGGAGCUUUCCCUGAGCUGAAGAGACUUGCCUGGGUGCAUGACCCGGGGAGUCUCGAGUGCCCAGUUUCAUCUCUGGUAACACCUCUCAGGAGAGCUUGCAUGGCUGACCUUGGGACAGCAGUACCUUGAUGUGGUUCAGAAAGGCCUCUGUCCCUCGGGGAGCCUCUCCAUUGAGGGAGGGUUUGAAAGAGGCACAUACUUUGUCACAUUGCUUGCUUAUUCUCUUUUGAAAGCUGAUCUAUUAAUUCCCCACAAGUUCAUAACCUGUGUCUAACAAACAGGUUUUUGUGUAAAGACAGUAAGAGACAUAGUUUGGAUAUUUGCUUUGAGCUCCUUUAUUUACCCUUGUCAGCCCAGGAUUUGUUCAUUUCAGCACAUAUUUCUUGCACUUCACCUGCACAAAGCUCUGGGUUGAAUGCUGUGGAAUAAAGCAAGCUCCUUUGUCCUGGGUGACUUCACUGUGGAGGGGCACCCUGGACACCAUGAAGCACUCACAUCUCUCAGGCUGGAGGUGGCACACAGUAAUUAUGUGCUCAACGUCAUGACCGCAUGCGGGACUCCAUGCCAUGCCAUUAAGUUUGCCCAGGCUGCACUCAAACUGUGACCUGAUCCCCUUGCCUCAGCCACUCAAGUAGCUGGGAUUGCAGGCAUCACCUUGAUGCUUGGCUUUUGGGGCCCUUAUCUCUGCGUUACAUCAUGUAAUUUCCAUAAAGGUCCUGAGAAAUGUUAGUAUCACUAUGCCUGAGUGCUGAGGGAACAAAAUUGAAGCUCAGAGAAGCUUACACCAGGGCAUGUACCAUGGAAUCAGGGAGAGUUGGAUUUGAACCCAGAUCUCUGACUUUACUGUCCAUUUUCAUAACCGUUGCAACUCAAGUUGUAAAAGCAAUCGCCAGCUGUCUUAGUCCAUUUUCUGAGACCAGAUAAUUUAUAACUGAUCUCUUACAGUUCUGCAGGCUGGGAAGCCCAGCACUGAGGGGCUGCACCAGGUGAGGGCCUCCUUGCUGUUGAGAGCUGGGUGAGUCCCCAAGGUGACACAGGUACUCACCUGGAAAGACCGACCAGUGUGCUGGAGGCAGCAUGCUCACCACAAACCACUCCCUUGAGAGCCCCCUAAUCUGUUCACCCUAAAUAGGUUGACCCAUUGAGGAGGGUGGAGCCCUCAUGACCGAAUCCCUCCCCAAGACGCCCUCUAAAUGCCACCGAUAACACGUGACUGCGGACUGAGUUUCCAGCACAUGAAACCUGGGGGGGACACACAAACUGUAUCACCUGCCACCUUGACUGCGCGGCUUCCAACUCGCCGGUCUGGUGCAGGGCUGAGAUUCCCUAAGCAAAUCCAGGUGCUGGGGCUGGGGGAGAGCCCGGUGGGAGAGAGCCUGCCCGUGGGUGGUUUCCAUCUCCGCACCGCAAACUUCGACAGCAGCAGCGCAAGAUUCAGAUGCUUCCGACUCCGGGUCUGAUGACCAUCUCUGAGCAGCACUGCCGUCAGCCCCUUCUGGCAGAACCAUGAGCAUGGAAGCAAGCGGCCGGGCUGCCGGGGGAGGAGGUGGGCUCCCGGGCCCACCUGUUUCUCUAUGGACUGUGUGCGCCUGGCCCUUUCCACUCUGCCUACAGGUUCAUCCCGGCUUCUCUGAUCUCAGCUUCAGCUUGCUCCUGGCUCCUUCUCCCCGUGUUGAAAACAUGCUCAAGUCUCCU
RNAcentral lists this long non-coding RNA (24514 nucleotides) under Heterocephalus glaber (naked mole-rat). RNAcentral describes it as "lncRNA (ENSHGLG00100048328.1)". The record is from RNAcentral. Lineage: Eukaryota; Metazoa; Chordata; Mammalia; Rodentia; Bathyergidae.